RNAcentral lists this ribosomal RNA (483 nucleotides) under uncultured bacterium. Its description in RNAcentral is "bacterial SSU rRNA". It matches the Rfam family "Bacterial small subunit ribosomal RNA", at positions 31 to 507 of the family's 1533-position model. The record is from RNAcentral.
GAACGCUGGCGGCAUGCCUUACACAUGCAAGUCGAACGGCAGCACGGGUGCUUGCACCUGGUGGCGAGUGGCGAACGGGUGAGUAAUACAUCGGAACGUACCUUAUCGUGGGGGAUAACGCAGCGAAAGCUGUGCUAAUACCGCAUACGCCCUGAGGGGGAAAGCGGGGGAUCGAAAGACCUCGCGCGAUUAGAUGAGCCUAGGUCGGAUUAGCUAGUUGGUGAGGUAAUGGCUCACCAAGGCGACGAUCCGUAACUGGUCUGAGAGGAUGAUCAGUCACACUGGAACUGAGACACGGCCCAGACUCCUACGGGAGGCAGCAGUGGGGAAUUUUGGACAAUGGGCGCAAGCCUGAUCCAGCCAUGCCGCGUGCGGGAAGAAGGCCUUCGGGUUGUAAACCGCUUUUGUCAGGGAAGAAAUCUUCUGGGCUAAUACCUCGGGAGGAUGACGGUACCUGAAGAAUAAGCACCGGCUAACUACGUG